CCUGAGAAACCCGAAAGAUCGAAUGGGGAGAUUCAUCGUCAGCGAUUCCGGUACGUGUGCGGCUCGCGAUGUCCGAGACUUCGGUCUCGCGGCACGCGUCCGCAUGUUUUUUAUUGCUGGAAUCGUCGGCGUGCACUUCUUCCCUAGUAGGACGUCGCGACCCGUUGGGUGUCGGUCUACGGCACGGUAGGUAGCCUGUCACGUGUGCGCUUCACGGCGUUACACGGGGCAGACCUCCGUUCGCCCGACCGGCUGCUCGGCGGUACUCGCAAGGUAUCUGGCCGCAGACAUACGAACUGCGUCCGGCCCGUCGCAAGCGCGGCAAGUGUUUCCCGGCUGUCACGGAUCUAAUGCCGUCACCGGGCCUUGCCAGCUGUUGGUUGACGGUGUCCUAGGACUGGCUAACAAUUAUUAUGAUACCGGUCGGCGACGCUACUGCUUUGGUACUUUC
Molecule: ribosomal RNA, 451 nt
Filed under: Crypteffigies albilarvatus
Lineage: Eukaryota; Metazoa; Arthropoda; Insecta; Hymenoptera; Ichneumonidae
Description: eukaryotic LSU rRNA
Source: RNAcentral